Molecule: RNA transcript, 8278 nt
Organism: Orcinus orca (killer whale)
Lineage: Eukaryota; Metazoa; Chordata; Mammalia; Artiodactyla; Delphinidae
Gene name: AT-rich interactive domain-containing protein 1A-like
Exons: 7
Source: RefSeq, a predicted model, not a curated record
CGCUCGUGGACGGGGCGCGAGCGCGCGGGGGACGUAGGGCGACGACCUGGGCCUCCCCGGCGCUCCGGCUCCGCUCAGGGCGCCCGCUCAGGGGCCUCUGGCGCGAGGCCCCCUUCGUGGUCAAGAUGGCGGCGCCCAGGCGGGCCGCGGCGAGGUGAGCUGGAGCCGGGCCCGGAGAGGGGCGAGUCUGCCACGCCCAGGACUUGGACCCCGGGCUGGUCUCCCGUCUCUCGGGGAGCGGCGGGUUGAUGGGCGCUACGGGAUAAGGAAAAGGAUGUGAAGCUCACUGAAGAGGCUUGGGUUGGGAGUGCUGGAGGAGUGUACAGGUGGGGAAAAUGUACCAGCGUGUAUGCCUACUGGGACCACGUUUUCCAGAACAGUUAAGCCCAGUGUCAACUGUGCUGUCCCACCUUCCUCGACAUCUGCAGAUAUUUAUUUGAAUUUUGUUGAAUUGUUCUCAUCAAUAGGGUGUCCAGAGAAGGUAACUACUUUGCCCACGUCCUAAACUGGGUUCGGUGGCUGGAAGAUGCUCCAGAGAGACGAGGCUGCGGCGGAGGAGGUGGCGGCGGCCGAAUCGGCAACGGCGCUAGGGUGGAGAGAAGGCGGCGGCGGCGGCGGCGGCGUGCGGGGCCCAACGGUGUAAACAGCCCCGGAGGCGGCGGAGGCGGUGGCCAAGACCCCGAGGGGGAAGCGGCGGCUGAGCCAGGGUCGCGCCUCCGUUGGAAGCCUGGGCUGAGUGCAGCAGAGGGGUUCUGCGGCGGGCGCGAGCGGACGUCCUAGACCUCGCCUCCCUCCCUCGCCCCAGGAGACUCCGGUCUUCUCUUCCCUGUCUUCCCCAGCAGUCCUUUUCGGAUGUCAUUCUUUUUACUAGUGAAGUUCUUAAAUGAAACUGCUAUCGUCAGUAUCCCAAAUCUACCAGAGGCCCAUUAAGAAUAGACUCACCAGCUUUAAGUGGCAGAUCAGUUUCUGAUUUCACCGAGCCUAGCAUCCUUUGUAAAAAAUUGUAUUAUUAAAUGUAGAGUGUGGAAAUAGCCCUGAAGUUAUUUUUAAAAUGAAGGGCUCAAUGAGUGUUGGAAAUAGUUAUUUCAUUUUUCAAGUUGCAUGACCUCUAAUGUCAGAUUGAGCAGAUCUAGAACAUUUUUGCCCAUCCUGUUUGGCAGAAUGCUUCUUAAGCGUUUUGAUAGCGGCUCACAUUCAUCACUAUUCAAGUUGGCUUAAAAACAGUUUGAAAACUUUAGAAAAAAGACAUUAUGAGAACAACUAGGAAGCUGUUUUGAUGAAGUCACUGUUAAAUACCUUUUAAAAUAGGCUUCACAUGUUUAAUGUAUCAAAAUAAAGUUGGCGGGAGUCUUGUAAAAAGGAUUAUUUAGGAAUUUGAGUAGUCUUAAGAGUUAUGUAGCUAUUUUGGGAAAAACAUUCUUUUUCUGUUAACAAACGUUUACAACUCCUGCGAUGUGAGAAUUACCGAGGUUUACUGUGGGAUUAACACAGGAACUCAUUUUAUUUGAGCUACUACAUGGAUGUAGAAGUGGUAAAUUGUUCAGGUUAGCGUAUAUCAGUAUGUAGAAGAAAAAAAAAAAAGUCUGCAUAAAUUCCCCUGGAAGGGGGAUAUGGUCAGAGAUGGCAAUUUGAAAACAGUGAGUCACCAAAAGUAAAAGUAAAUUACAAGCUGUUUUGGGGGUCUUCAAGAGAGAUUUUAUAGAUUGAACAACAACAGCAGCAAGGAUAAAAUAUAACGCUGUCAUGUAGACUGCAGCCUGAAAAGAAAGCAUUGCAGAAAAGCCACAUCAUCCUGAAUUUAUAUUUCCGUGCAUUUGAACAGAUUGGAGAGCAGUAAAGUUGUUUUAAGAGUGAGUGAUUUAAGUCAGCCAGCUUGUGAAUAAUACGAGAUAUUUUUGCAUUUACAUUAACUUAUGUCCAUAAAUAACAAACUUUAACAAUGAACAAAAUCCAUAAUCCUGAUAAUGCUAAGAAAACUGGAAAGAUACCUUUACCUUGAAAAGACAGGAUAAAGAAGACAGCAUAGAAAUUUAGGGAGAUUGCAGUUUUGGAAAACUUACAUUAACAUUUAUUAGCUGCUACAGCUUUGAAAUGUGAUGAUUUAAAGAAAGAAGUAGACUGUUGAUUUCUAAAAGGUAAUGUGUUGGCUGAAAGAGAAGAGAAUCUUGUUGAGACCUAAAGUGUUCUUUUAAGGAUACAUUUCAAUGUCAUUUCAAAAAAUAAACACAUUUCCCAUAACAAAACAGUGAGGUUAAUGGAAUAAUGCAGGUGAAAGCUUUUUGGCCCGAAGGAGUUCCAUCCUUUGGAACAAAGUUUUAUUGUUGAACACACCAUGACCCAGGCCUGUGAGUGCCAGCACAGUGGCUGUUUUUACAAGAUCUGGUACAAUAUUCACAGUAGUUCUGGCCUUAGCACUAGGCAAGGAUCAUUCUUUUUGUAUCUUCCUGAUUGCUUCCUCUACAGAAAUGGGAUAAUCCCUCCUCUUCUAAACUGGAAAGUAGUUUCUUCCCUCAAUAAAACUAGUUUCUUCUCCAGGUUGAGCCUUUCCAACUCUUAGAGGUCUAAAAUGAAUGAUAUGAAACAUACUGUAUUUGCAUCUAUUUUUAUUUAAGAGUUAUCUAAGGAGAUUUAUCUAAUUAAAUAGGAAUUUCCUAAGAGAUGCCAAAAUAAACAAUCAACAAGUUUUCUUUAAAGAUCAUAUAUAUUAUAUAACAAGAUCCACCUAAGAGUUAAAAUAUAAGUAGGUAUACAAUUUAACUAUUUGAAGAUAAUUUUUCUUCUUACCACUGAAGCAAUAAGCAGGUAGUAGUACAAUUUGGGGAAAACAAUAUUUCUGGCUUUUGUUUGUUUUAUUUUAAUUUGUGAUAUUCAUGAGAUCUUUUGUGAAGCCUUUGGGUAUAUAGUAAAAUUCAUGGGUUUUUAACUUUGUAUUGACUCGUAUUUUUGUAGAUUUUAAAUUUUUCUUCUGGCUUUAAUUUAUACUAUCUCCUUUUACUUUUUCAUUUAGAAAUAAUGUAUUUUUCUCAGGAUUGCAAUCUCAGUGCAGUCCUCUACUUUUCUAUUUGUUGGACGUUCUCUUAGACGUCUACAUUUUUGUCUAGUUAGUACAUUUCUAGUUUUUUAUACAAUUGAUAAGAACUCUUUAAUCUUAUGAAUUCUUUAUAUUUACUCUUUGGAGACAAGACUUAUAGGGAUUUCCUUGGGCUUAAACUAGAAAGAAAAACGAAUUUGCAUAUGAAAUGUUGAAGGCUUUGUUACAAAGUGGGUUAACAUUAUAUGUAUGUUUGAAAUAAACUACUUCAACCAGAGCACCUAGCUGUUAACCUCCAGAUUAAUAUCUCUCAUAAAAUAUGUGCAUGCUUCCAACACAUUGGCAUUGCCUCCUAUUACUGCAUGUCCAGGAGAAAUGGUUUUGUCUUGUAGCAAAAGGCAUUAGCUCUUUGCACUUUUUUUUUUUUUUUUAAUGACAGCUAUCCAAAAAUCAAGCUGAACCCUUGUAUAUGAGGACAAUUUUUAGACAGGUCUAAUAUCCAGUUGUACCUUUCAGUCACUUAGAGAGAAGGCUUAGACUCCUGAAGCCCAAAGUCACAGGUUUUUAAGGAUUAUGGUGGUAUAUACCUCCAGUUUAUAGGAAAAAAAUGCGUUGUAGAAAAUCCAAGUUAAAUUAGGACUAAAAUCCAAGUUAAAUCUAGAACUAAAGUUUUACUGCCCCCAAUACUUGUAAACUCUAGGUUACUGCUCUGUUGUCCAUUUCAUCAGUUGCAGAAUAUUCAAGUUAGUCUUUCAGUGCUAACAAGAACAUAAAAAUGCAUUAUGUCUAAAAGCAGAACAUGAUUGCCAAGCCAGAUCUGCUCAUUACCUGAGAGUUUGGGGGGCCACCCAAGCGGCAUCUACUUGUUUGCUACUGACCUUCAGUUAGACUUGCUCAAGAAUUCUUACAAUGUAAUAACAUACACCCUUAUGUACUCUUGAGUUUAUUGAAAAGACACAGCAAAUGUGCACACACACACACAUACACACCAGCACACCAGCACGCACCUACUCUAGAGCCUAGAAUUUUAAGAGUCAGAACUUUUUAUUUGCUUCUGGAUUAAGAUGGACCCUGUAUUUCCUCAGCAUGCUAAUUAGAAACUCUAUAAACAAUUCAAAACCAGCUUCUUAAAAUUCUGUUUUACAAAAAUUGAUGUUAAAUGUUGUCCUCAGAGAGUUCUACUCUGACUUUUCAAAUUGUUUUUUUCUCCCUUCAUGGGAUAAACAGGGUUUUUUUUUGUUUGUUUUUUUAUCUCACAUGUAAAAAAUUCUAUCUUAAAAGCUGAUUUAUUAUUUCUUCCUUAGCAUGGAUGACAUGGGAACAAAGAUGAUAUUUCAUCAGUCUUGUUUUUAUUUAAGUUGAAAGGUUAUAUAUUUCUACUAUCUACUGCAAUAAUGCUAAAUAUUUUUAUAGUGCUUGUAAAUCUUAUGACAUUAUUUUUUUAGUUUGUAUUUAAGGCAUUUACUCAAAAGGGACCAUAUGCCUCAGUUCAUGUCACUCUAUCAUCAGUGUGUAUGGUCACUCUGUUUUCUAAUACUUUUAAGAUUGGUUUUGGCCCCGACGUUCCUCUGCCAGAUUUAUUUCCUUUAUUUUCCCCUAUAUAGCACCAUUUGGGCCAUUUAAUAAAUAAUUUCCCAACUCACCUUUCAUAGUUAUUUUAAACAUGUGUAUCUAUUUGAAAUACCGAAUUGUUUUGUAUUUUCUAAUUUUUGCAAAAGUAGUAUCGACUAAAAAUCACAUCCUAUUCUUUUAUUUUUUCUACACAAAAUUAUUGUUUUAAAAUUUGUCUGUGUUGCUCCAUAGAAAUUAUUGCUUCUGGCCACUGUCUAAUAUUCCACUAUAUGUUAAUACCAUAUUUUGCUUAUCCAUUACCCUGGUGAUACAUACUUAGGCUAUUUUCAACACUUUAUGUCCACCAUAGGCAUUAAUACACUCUUUCCACAUGUCCCCUUGAGUAACAGUGCAGAGUAACAGUGCAGCUGUGGAAUGGCUGAGGUAGAAGUCAUAUAUAUGCCUUAUUUCACAGAUUUCUCCCUGGAAUAGCUGUACCAUUUUCCCCUCACCAGCAAUACUUGGAAUUUCUCUCUUGCCAUAUCCUUUGUCACCACACGCUGUUAAUCUGCAUUUUUAAAAAUUAAUUAAUUAAUUUUUGGCUGCAUUGGGUCUUCGCUGCUACACUCAGGCUCUCUCUAGUUGCAGCGAGCGGGGUCUACUCUUUGUUGUGGUGCGCAGGCUUCUCAUUGCAGUGGCUUCUCUUGUUGCGGAGCACAGGCUCUAGGCGCGCGGGCUCAGUAGUGUGGCUCCCAGGCUCUAGAGCGCAGGCUCAGUAGUUGUGGUGCGCAGCCGUAGUUGCUCCACAGCAUAAUUUGCAUUUUAACUUCUGGAAAUUUGGCAUGUGUGGAUUCAUAUGAAGUAAGGUGUUUUAAUUCUGCAUUGCUCUGAUUCUAGACAAGUUAGGUCUUCAUAUACUUUCUUGCUAUUCAUGUUUUCCAUUCUGUGAAUUGCCUAUCAUGACUUUGCUCAUUUUUCUAUUGAGUAUUCUGUGUCUUUAGAGAUGUAGAAGUUUUUGUAUUCAGAUGUUGAGUCCUUUGUUGGGUUUUAGAUAAUGUAUAUGUCUUCUACCCAUCAACUGUUUUUCAGUCUGACUUUGGUAUCCUUUAUUGUACAUAAAAUUCUAAUUUUUUAUUAAAGUAUAAUUGAUUUACAAUAUUAUGUUAAUUUCAGGUGUACAACAUGGUGAUUCAAUAUUUUUAUAGAUUAUGCUCCAUUGAAAGUUACUAUAAAAUAUUGGCUAUAUUCCCCAUGCCCUACAAUAUAUCCUUGUAUCUCAUUUAUUUUAUACAUAGUUGUCUGUACUUCCUAAUUCCCAGUCUGUAUCUUGCCCCUCUCGCUUCCCUCUCCCCACUGGUAACCACUAGAUUGUUUUCUAUAUCUGUGAAUCUGUUUCUGUUUUGUUGUAUUCAUUCAUCUUAUUUUUUAGAUUCUACUUAUAAGUGAUAUCAUUACAGUAUUUGUCUUUGUCUGACUUAUUUCACUAAGCAUAAUACCCUCCAGGUCCAUCUAUGUUGUUGCAAAUGGCACAAUUUAACAUUUUUUAUGGCUGAGCAGUGUUCCAUUGUGUACAUAUGGCACGUACUCUUUGUUCAUUCAUCUGUUGAUGGACACUUAGGUUGCUUCCAUAUCUUGGCUAUUGUAAACAAUGCUGUUACAAACACUGGAUGUGGGUGCAUGCAUCUUUUCAAAUCAGUGUUUCUGUUUUCUUCAGAUAUAUACCUAGGAGCGGAAUUACUGGAUUAUAUGGUUGUUCUGUUUUGUUUUUGUUUUUAUUAACAUCUUUAUUGGAGUAUAGUUGCUUUACAAUGAUGUGUUAGUAUCUGCUUUAUAACAAAGUGAGUCAGCUAUACAUAUACAUAUGUCCCCAUAUCUUCUUCCUCUUGUGUCUCCCUUCCACCCUCCCUAUCCCACCCCUCUAGUGGCUACAUCAGUUAACAUUCCCACCAACAGUGUACCAGGGUUCCCUUUUCUCCACAUCCUCGCCAAGGCUUGUUAGUUUUGUUCUUUUUUAUGAUAGCCAUUCUGACAUGUGUGAGGUGAUCUCUCAUUGUGGUUUUGAUUUGCAUUUCCCUGAUGGCUAGUGAUGUUGAGCAUCUUUUCAUGUGCCUGUUGGCCAUCUGUAUGUUUUCUUUGGAAAAAUGUCUAUUCAGCUCUUCUGCCUAUUCUUUUAAAUCAGAUUUUUUAUAUUAAUAAAUUUAUAAUUUUAAUAUAGUUAAAUUCAUCACUUUUGCUUCAUACACUGUAUGCUUCUUUAUUUUUCAAAGAUCUAUUUCAUCUCUUACCCUGAAAUCACAAAUAUAUUACCUUGCAAUUUCUUUUAUUCUCUCUAGAUUUUAUUUUUCACAUUUAAAUAUUAAAACUAUUGUAUUUUAGUUUUGUACAUUAGGUGGAAUUAUAUAACAUAAUGGUUAAUAGAAUGAUUUCUGUGGGGUUUAAGUUCCAGCUCCACCAUGUACUUCUUAGGCUAGUCAUUUUAUCUCUCAUACUUCAGUUUUUCCACCUGUAAAAUGAGGAUAAUAGUUUAUGCCUUGUGGAUUUUUUUGUGAAGAUUAGGUGAGCUAUAUAGGACUGGGUACAACAUAAGUGAUAUCACUAGGUUAAGAUCCAGUCUCAUCUCUCUUUUGAAAAUGAGACUGUUUCCCCAAAAGCUGUAAUUCAACUUCCUCCAUUGGACUAUGAUUCCAUCUCUUUCAUGUGCCAACUUUCUAUCUGUAUAUAGCUCUAUUUCUAGGCCACCUGUUUGAUUUGUUUUCUUAUUUGCUGUUUCUUCCAAGGGCAUCACACAGUUCUUAUCUAUCAUGACUUCCCAAUAUAUCUUAAUGUGUAGGGCACAUUCUCCAUUUUGAGCUUAUUUUUCAAAACUACCUUAGCUGUAUGGAGAACUUUAUUCUUCCAGAUACACUUUAUUUUACUUUAUUUUAUUUUAAUUUUUUUAUAGGAGAUAGAGCAAUCUGCUCUUUUUUUUUCUUUUUUUCUUUUUUUUUGGCUGCAUUGGAUCUUCAUUGCUGCGUGUGAGCUUUGUCUAGUUGCAGCGAGCCGUGGGGCAGGAGGCUACUCUUUGUUGUGGUGCACAGGCUUGUCAUUGCAGUGUCUUCCCUUGUUGCAGAGCACAGGCUCCAGGCUCGUGGGCUUCAGUAGUUGUGGCUCGUGGGCUCUAGAGUGCAGGCUCAGCAGUUGUGGUGCACCAGCUUAGUUGCUCUGUGGCAUGUGGGAUCUUCCUGGACCAGGGAUUGAACCCAUGUUCCCUCCAUUGGCAGGCGGAUUCUCAACCACUGCGCCACCAGGGAAGUCCCCCAGAUACAUUUUAGAAUCACUUUUUUAUGCUGUCCCUCAAAAAAAAAAAAAAAGAGCUUGGCCUUUUAUUACAGUUGCAUUUAAUUUUAUAGAUUAAUAUAAGGACAUUUAUAUUAUUAUAGUAAGUCAUCUCAUCCAUACCUGUGAUAUAAAUUUCUUUUACUCAUGUGUCCUCUAAUAAAGUUUUCAUUAUGAAGAUUUUCUGCAUAAUUUAUUAGGUGAAACCCCAUACUCUAUAGGUUUUGUUACUAUGGUAAAUUCAUCUUGUAUUGUAUCUAGAUACUGAUGCUAUGGAGGAACACAAUUGAUCUUGGUGUAUUAAUUUUUUUCCAGCCCCUAUGUUGAGCUCUUUUCUUAGAUUUAAUAGUUUAUUGAUUUUCCUGUGUUUCCAAUAAAAUA